AUCUAUAGGAUUGUAUUAAAAUUGAAUAAAGCUUUGUUUAUAUAUUGAUAAUGACAGUAUAUAUAUCGUGUCUUGACUAAUUGCGUGCCAGCAGUCGCGGUAAUACGUAAGAGACUAGUGUUAUUCAUCUUAAUUAGGUUUAAAGGGUACCUAGACGGUCAAUAUAGCUUCUAAAAUGUUAGUACUUGACUAGAGUUUUAUGUAAGAGGGCAGUACUUGAGGAGGAGAGAUGAAAUUCUAUGAUACCAAAGGGACUCGGUAAAGGCGAAGGCAGCCCUCUAUGUGAAAACUGACGUUAAAGGACGAAGGCACAGAGCACAAACAGGAUUAGAUACCCAAGUAGUCUUUGCAGUAAAUGAUGAAUGCCAUAGGUUAGAUUAAGAUUUAAUAUUAUAAUUUAAAAUUAAAUAUUAAACAUUAAUUUAGUCUAUAAAUGAAAGUGUAAGCAUUUCACCUCAA
Molecule: ribosomal RNA, 459 nt
Filed under: Trichoderma atroviride
Lineage: Eukaryota; Fungi; Ascomycota; Sordariomycetes; Hypocreales; Hypocreaceae
Description: SSU rRNA
Rfam family: Bacterial small subunit ribosomal RNA
Source: RNAcentral